Molecule: ribosomal RNA, 497 nt
Filed under: uncultured bacterium
Lineage: Bacteria
Description: partial 16S ribosomal RNA
Rfam family: Bacterial small subunit ribosomal RNA
Source: RNAcentral
GAUGAACGCUGGCGGCGUGCCUAAUACAUGCAAGUCGAGCGAACAGACGAGGAGCUUGCUCCUCUGACGUUAGCGGCGGACGGGUGAGUAACACGUGGAUAACCUACCUAUAAGACUCGGAUAACUUCGGGAAACCGGAGCUAAUACCGGAUAACAUGUUGAACCGCAUGGUUCAACAGUGAAAGACGGUUUUGCUGUCACUUAUAGAUGGAUCCGCGCCGCAUUAGCUAGUUGGUAAGGUAACGGCUUACCAAGGCAACGAUGCGUAGCCGACCUGAGAGGGUGAUCGGCCACACUGGAACUGAGACACGGUCCAGACUCCUACGGGAGGCAGCAGUAGGGAAUCUUCCGCAAUGGGCGAAAGCCUGACGGAGCAACGCCGCGUGAGUGAAGAAGGUCUUCGGAUCGUAAAACUCUGUUAUUAGGGAAGAACAAAUGUGUAAGUAACUAUGCACGUCUUGACGGUACCUAAUCAGAAAGCCACGGCUAACUACGUG